UCGUCGUGUAGUUCAACGUUCCUCACGA
RNAcentral lists this small RNA (28 nucleotides) under Bombyx mori (domestic silkworm). RNAcentral's name for it is "ovarian small RNA-29262". The record is from RNAcentral. Lineage: Eukaryota; Metazoa; Arthropoda; Insecta; Lepidoptera; Bombycidae.